UUCUACUCCUCCUCCUUCUUCUUUUUCUUUAGUGAAUCUCUAAUGAGGUCAAGCAUUGGAAUUUCUUCCUCAGAUUCAUGCAUAGAUGGAUCUGUUGGCACCAUAAAUUGGUGUUGCUGCAACACCCCAACAUCUUCCUUUACCUUGUUCAAGGCUGCUCUAAAUUUAGCAAGAUCAGCCCCUGAUAUUUUUUUUGCUCGUGCAUCAAAUCGGUUCUCCAAAUCUGCAACUCAU
Molecule: long non-coding RNA, 234 nt
Filed under: Capsicum annuum
Lineage: Eukaryota; Viridiplantae; Streptophyta; Magnoliopsida; Solanales; Solanaceae
Description: long non-coding RNA (CANN_LNC004974)
Source: RNAcentral